GACGAACGCUGGCGGCGUGCCUAAUACAUGCAAGUCGAACGCUUCUUUCCUCCCGAGUGCUUGCACUCAAUUGGAAAGAGGAGUGGCGGACGGGUGAGUAACACGUGGGUAACCUACCCAUCAGAGGGGGAUAACACUUGGAAACAGGUGCUAAUACCGCAUAACAGUUUAUGCCGCAUGGCAUAAGAGUGAAAGGCGCUUUCGGGUGUCGCUGAUGGAUGGACCCGCGGUGCAUUAGCUAGUUGGUGAGGUAACAGCUCACCAAGGCCACGAUGCAUAGCCGACCUGAGAGGGUGAUCGGCCACACUGGGACUGAGACACGGCCCAGACUCCUACGGGAGGCAGCAGUAGGGAAUCUUCGGCAAUGGACGAAAGUCUGACCGAGCAACGCCGCGUGAGUGAAGAAGGUUUUCGGAUCGUAAAACUCUGUUGUUAGAGAAGAACAAGGACGUUAGUAACUGAACGUCCCCUGACGGUAUCUAACCAGAAAGCCACGGCUAACUACGUG
Molecule: ribosomal RNA, 508 nt
Filed under: uncultured bacterium
Lineage: Bacteria
Description: partial 16S ribosomal RNA
Rfam family: Bacterial small subunit ribosomal RNA
Source: RNAcentral